Molecule: ribosomal RNA, 403 nt
Filed under: uncultured prokaryote
Description: bacterial SSU rRNA
Rfam family: Bacterial small subunit ribosomal RNA
Source: RNAcentral
UUUGGAAUCUUGCCCAAUGGGGGAAACCCUGAGGCAGCGACGCCGCGUGGAGGAUGAAGGAUCUAGGUCUGUAAACUCCUUUUAUCGGGAAAGACUUAGGACGGUACCCGAUGAAUAAGCUCCGGCUAACUCCGUGCCAGCAGCCGCGGUAAGACGGAGGGAGCUAGCGUUACUCGGAAUCACUGGGCGUAAAGGGCGUGUAGGCGGAUUGGAAAGUCAGGCGUGAAAUACCUCGGCUCAACCGAGGAAUUGCGUCUGAAACUUCCUUUCUUGAGUGUGGGAGGGGGGAGUGGAACUCCUGGUGGAGCGGUGAAAUGCGUAGAUAUCAGGAGGAACGCCGGUGGCGAAAGCGGCUCUCUGGUCCACUACUGACGCUGAGGCGCGAAAGCCAGGGGAGCAAACG